Molecule: long non-coding RNA, 388 nt
Filed under: Elaeis guineensis (African oil palm)
Lineage: Eukaryota; Viridiplantae; Streptophyta; Magnoliopsida; Arecales; Arecaceae
Description: long non-coding RNA (EGUI_LNC044573)
Source: RNAcentral
UCCCAAACUCUAAACCCAAAAAUCCUAAAAACAUAAAAUAAAAUGCCAAACCCUAAUCUCUAAAACCCUAAAAUGCUAAAAACCCUAAAUAUUAAACCCUAAAACCCUAAACACAAAAACCCUAAAACUCUAAAACCUAAAUUCUAAAUUGUAAACCUUAAAAUCUAAACCCUACACCCUAAAUCCUGAAAUCCUAAAAUCCUAAAACCCUAAAUCCUAAACUCUAAAACCCAAAACCUAAAAGCCCAAAUCCUAAAACCCCAAAACCCAAAACCCCAAAAUCCUAAAACCCAAAAUCAUAAACCCUAAGACCUUAAACCCUAAAAUCCUAAAGUCCAAAACCCUAAACUCUAAAUCCUAAACCCUAAACCCUAAAACCCUAGACCCU